GCGCUGAAUUUAAGUAAGCAAGAGAUCGAUCCAUUAAGAGAGCUCCUUAACAUCAUCCUAAUGUAUCCUUCUCUUGUUGAUUACAGUGUA
RNAcentral lists this microRNA precursor (90 nucleotides) under Drosophila pseudoobscura. RNAcentral's name for it is "microRNA dps-mir-2572 precursor". The record is from miRBase by way of RNAcentral. Lineage: Eukaryota; Metazoa; Arthropoda; Insecta; Diptera; Drosophilidae.